RNAcentral lists this long non-coding RNA (524 nucleotides) under Ananas comosus (pineapple). RNAcentral describes it as "long non-coding RNA (ACOM_LNC040285)". Lineage: Eukaryota; Viridiplantae; Streptophyta; Magnoliopsida; Poales; Bromeliaceae. The record is from RNAcentral.
AUAUUAAAGUGAUAUUUUUUAAAAACUAUAUGAUGUUAUUAUAUUAAAAAAUAAAACUAUAUGAUAUUCAUGUGUAGUUUUUUGAAUUAGAUGGUGACUGAUAAGUAAAAAAAAAAAAAAAGCUUUAAAUUAUAGAUAACCUAAGUGUAAAUUGUUUAAACUACAAAAUGAUAAAGUAAAAAUGCGCUAAACCAUAGUUAGUUAAUUCGGAUUCGGCAAAAAUUCGGUACGGGUAUAAUACGUAUAAAAUUUAUUUUCUAAUUUUUAAAUUCGUUGAAAAAUUCGGCUUAAAAAACGGAUUCAGUAUAAAAUAUAAAAUAUAAAAUAUAAGAUAAUAUAUAUUUAAAAAUAAAAAAUUAUAAAUUUUUUAUUCAUAUUUUUAAUAAUUCGCGAAUUAUUCGGCUAGAUCAAAAAUUCGUGAAUAAUUCUUCUUCUUUGAAAAAAAUUCAUAAACGGACUGUUUAAUUCGGAUUUUCAAUAAUUCGCGAAUAAUUCGCGAAUUAACUAACUAGGCGCUAAACUAC